AAUUAAUGAUUUAAGUCCUUCUUAAAUGAGGCCAUUUACCCAUAGAGGGUGCCAGGCCCGUAUAACGUUAAUGAUUACUAGAUGAUGUUUCCAAAGAGUCGUGUUGCUUGAUAGUGCAGCACUAAGUGGGUGGUAAACUCCAUCUAAAACUAAAUAUAACCAUGAGACCGAUAGUAAACAAGUACCGUGAGGGAAAGUUGAAAAGAACUCUGAAUAGAGAGUUAAACAGUACGUGAAACUGCUUAGAGGUUAAGCCCGAUGAACCUGAAUAUCCGUUAUGGAAAAUUCAUCAUUAAAAUUGUAAUAUUUAAAUAAUAUUAUUAAGAAUAAUGUGCAUUUUUUCCAUAUAAGGACAUUGUAAUCUAUUAGCAUAUCCCAAAUUUAUCAUAAAAUAUAACUUAUAGUUUAUUCCAAUUAAAUUGCUUGCAUUUUAACACAGAAUAAAUGUUAUUAAUUUGAUAAAGUGCUGAUAGAUUUAUAUUAUUACAGAGCGUUAAUUUUUCGGAAUUAUAUAAUGGCAUAAUUAUCAUUGAUUUUUGUGUUUAUUAUAUGCUCUUGUAUGAUUAACAAUGCGAAAGAUUCAGGAUACCUUCGGGACCCGUCUUGAAACACGGACCAAGGAGUCUAACAUAUGUGCAAGUUAUUGGGAUGUAAACCUAAUAGCGUAAUUAACUUGACUAAUAAUGGGAUUAGUUUUUUAGCUAUUUAUAGCUAAUUAACACAAUCCCGGGGCGUUCUAUAUAGUUAUGUAUAAUGUAUAUUUAUAUUAUUUAUGCCUCUAACUGGAACGUACCUUGAGCAUAUAUGCUGUGACCCGAAAGAUGGUGAACUAUACUUGAUCAGGUUGAAGUCAGGGGAAACCCUGAUGGAAGACCGAAACAGUUCUGACGUGCAAAUCGAUUGUCAGAAUUGAGUAUAGGGGCGAAAAACCAAUCGAACCAUCUAGUAGCUGGUUCCUUCCGAAGUUUCCUCAGAUAGCUGGUGCAUUUAAAAUAUAUAAAUAAUCUAUCUGGUAAGCGAUGAUAGAGGCUUAGGUCGAAACGAUCUUACCUAUUCUCAACUUAAUGGGUAGACCUACUUCUGAAAAAGUCAGGUAUAAUAAUGGGCCCGGGGCCUUUGUGAAAAAGGAGCGGGGGGGAAAACAAAAAAUGUCCGGCCCAUUUCCCCGCAAUCAUGAGGGGGGGGCAAAAAGGGGGG
Molecule: non-coding RNA, 1197 nt
Filed under: Drosophila simulans
Lineage: Eukaryota; Metazoa; Arthropoda; Insecta; Diptera; Drosophilidae
Description: Eukaryotic large subunit ribosomal RNA
Rfam family: Eukaryotic large subunit ribosomal RNA
Source: Rfam by way of RNAcentral